RNAcentral lists this ribosomal RNA (104 nucleotides) under Sinocyclocheilus grahami. The record is from RNAcentral. Lineage: Eukaryota; Metazoa; Chordata; Actinopteri; Cypriniformes; Cyprinidae.
UCUAGUAACUAAUAUUAACGGGUCGCCCACUGAAGCUAAGCAGGGCUGAGCCUGGUCAGUACCUGGAUGGGAGACCUCCUGGGAAACCUAGGUUGCUGCUGGAA